Molecule: ribosomal RNA, 253 nt
Filed under: uncultured bacterium
Lineage: Bacteria
Description: partial 16S ribosomal RNA
Rfam family: Bacterial small subunit ribosomal RNA
Source: RNAcentral
UACGAGGGAUCCUAGCGUUGUUCGGAAUCAUUGGGCGUAAAGGGUGCGUAGGCGGCCAAGUAAGUCAGUUGUGAAAUCCCCGGGCUCAACCCGGGAAGUGCUUCUGAUACUGCUUGGCUUGAGUAUUGGAGAGGUGAGUGGAAUUCCAGGUGUAGUGGUGAAAUACGUAGAUAUCUGGAGGAACACCGGCGGCGAAGGCGGCUCACUGGCCAUAUACUGACGCUGAAGCACGAAAGCGUGGGGAUCAAACAGG